CGUGUAGGUGGUCACGCAAGUCAGGUGUGAAAGCCCAGGGCUCAACCCUGGAAGUGCACAUGAUACUACGUGGCUGGAGUACUGAAGAGGAGAGCGGAAUUCCCGGUGUAGAGGUGAAAUUCGUAGAUAUCGGGAGGAACACCAGUGGCGAAGGCGGCUCUCUGGGCAGAUACUGACACUGAGACGCGAAAGCGUGGGUAGCAAACAGGAUUAGAUACCCUGGUAGUCCACGCUGUAAACGAUGAGAACUGGGUGUCGUGGGUAUUGACCCCCGCGGUGCCGAAGCCAACGCGUUAAGUUCUCCGCCUGGGAAGUACGGCCGCAAGGCUAAA
This 332-nucleotide ribosomal RNA is filed under the name uncultured Pseudomonadota bacterium. RNAcentral describes it as "bacterial SSU rRNA". It matches the Rfam family "Bacterial small subunit ribosomal RNA", at positions 568 to 898 of the family's 1533-position model. Lineage: Bacteria; Pseudomonadati; Pseudomonadota. The record is from RNAcentral.